This 717-nucleotide ribosomal RNA is filed under the name uncultured bacterium. RNAcentral describes it as "bacterial SSU rRNA". It matches the Rfam family "Bacterial small subunit ribosomal RNA", at positions 40 to 776 of the family's 1533-position model. The record is from RNAcentral.
CGGCAUGCAUAGGCAUGCAGUUGAACGAGAAUUUUACUUUCGGUAAAUGGAAAGUAGCGAAAGGGCGAAGUAACGCGUGAAUAAUCUGCCCCUAAGUUUGGAACAACAGUUGGAAACGACUGCUAAUACCGGAUGUGAAUGUUAAGUCGCAUGACUCAACAUUUAAAGGUUACGCUUAGGGAUGAGUUCGCGUGCCAUUAUGCUAGUUGGUAAGGUAACGGCUUACCAAGGCUAUGACGGCUAGGUGGUCUGAGAGGACGAUCACCCACACUGGGACUGAGACACUGCCCAGACUCCUGCGGGAGGCUGCAGUCGAGAAUCUUCCGCAAUGCGCGAAAGCGUGACGGAGCAAUGCCGCGUGAUCGAAGACUGCCUUCGGGUUGUAAAGAUCUGUCAGGGGGGAAAAACGAUGAUGGUACCCCCAGAGGAAGCCACGGCUAACUACGUGCCAGCAGCCGCGGUAAUACGUAGGUGGCGAGCAUUAUUCGGAAUUACUGGGCGUAAAGGGUCCGCAGGUGGUUUACUAAGUCAGAUGUGAAAAUUCAGUGCUUAACACUGAACCUGCAUUUGAAACUGGUAGACUAGAGUAUGUGAGAGGUAAGCGGAAUUUGUGGUGUAGCGGUGGAAUGCGUAGAUAUCACAAGGAAGACCAAAGGCGAAGGCAGCUUACUGGCACAAUACUGACACUCAUGGACGAAGGCUAAGGUAGCGAAAAGG